RNAcentral lists this ribosomal RNA (649 nucleotides) under uncultured Bacillota bacterium. RNAcentral describes it as "bacterial SSU rRNA". It matches the Rfam family "Bacterial small subunit ribosomal RNA", at positions 79 to 744 of the family's 1533-position model. Lineage: Bacteria; Bacillati; Bacillota. The record is from RNAcentral.
UUCGGCCUUUAACUUAGUGGCGAACGGGUGAGUAACGCGUGAAUAACCUGACUCAAAGAGGGGGAUAACAACGGGAAACUGUUGCUAAUACCGCAUGAGACCACAACACCGCAUGAUGAAGGGGUCAAAGAUUUAUCGCUUUGAGAGGGGUUCGCGUCCCAUUAGGUAGUUGGAGGGGUAACGGCCCACCAAGCCAACGAUGGGUAGCCGAGCUGAGAGGCUGAUCGGCCACACUGGAACUGAGACACGGUCCAGACUCCUACGGGAGGCAGCAGUAGGGAAUAUUGGGCAAUGGGCGCAAGCCUGACCCAGCAACGCCGCGUGAGGGAAGAAGGUUUUCGGAUUGUAAACCUCUGUCCUAUGUGACGAAGGAAGUGACGGUAGCAUAGGAGGAAGCCCCGGCUAACUACGUGCCAGCAGCCGCGGUAAUACGUAGGGGGCGAGCGUUGUCCGGAAUUACUGGGCGUAAAGGGUGCGUAGGCGGUUUGGUAAGUUGGAUGUGAAUACCCGGGCUUAACUUGGGGGCUGCAUCCAAUAUUGUCGGACUUGAGUGCAGGAGAGGAAAGCGGAAUUCCUAGUGUAGCGGUGAAAUGCGUAGAUAUUAGGAGGAACACCGGUGGCGAAGGCGGCUUUCUGGACUGUAACUGAC